RNAcentral lists this ribosomal RNA (810 nucleotides) under Epispathidium sp. RV-2015. RNAcentral's name for it is "eukaryotic LSU rRNA". The stretch from base 350 to 810 matches the Rfam family "Eukaryotic large subunit ribosomal RNA", at positions 1 to 469 of the family's 3401-position model. Lineage: Eukaryota; Ciliophora; Litostomatea; Haptorida; Spathidiidae. The record is from RNAcentral.
AUACUAACUGAACUUGAUAGCACGGAGCAGUCUGUGCUAUUCAAUGAAUCUAACUCAGCAACUCCAUAAACCAAUCAAUGGUUGAUAAAACUUAAAUUUUCAACGAUGGAUGUCUUGGCUCCCAUAUCGAUGAAGAACGCAGCAAGAAUGCGAUAUGCAAUGUGAAUUGCAGAACCAUGAAUCAUCGGAUCUUUGAACGCAACUGGCGCUGAUCCUAAAUCAGCAUACUUGUUUCAGUGUGCGCAAACAACUAAACCAACUCAAUGUGAGAGAAACUCUCUCAUGAAGUAAAUGCUCCCUGCAGCAGUCACAUUCAUUUGUGAGCUACUGGGUGGAACUCGUCUCAUUGUCACCUGAAAUCAAGUAAGAUGACCCGCUGGACUUAAGCAUAUUACUAAGCGGAGGAAAAGAAAUUAACAAAGAUUGCCUUAGUAAGGGCGACUGAACCGGCAAGAGCUCGAAAUUGGAAUCGGAGGUUCAAAGAAUCUUCGAAUUGUAAUCAGGUCCGCCGAAAUACGAGAGCUCUCUCAAUCACGUCGAAACGUGUGCCAGAGAGGGUGAAAGCCCCGUACAGAGUUCUCUCGAAACAGGGGGAUUCCACAAGAGUCGGGUUGCUUGGAACUGCAGCCCUAAGUGGGAGAUAUGAAUCUUCCAAAGCUAAAUAUGGGAUGGGAGACCGAUAGCGAACAAGUACUGUGAAGGAAAGAUGAAAAGGACUUUGAAAAGAGAGUGAAAAGAUCUGAAAUCGUUGAGAAGGAAGCGGUAAAAACUGAUGGUCGUACUGACAGAUAUCGCGGCCAAAGCUGCGUA